This 438-nucleotide ribosomal RNA is filed under the name Coptotermes formosanus (Formosan subterranean termite). RNAcentral describes it as "partial 12S ribosomal RNA". Lineage: Eukaryota; Metazoa; Arthropoda; Insecta; Blattodea; Rhinotermitidae. The record is from RNAcentral.
AAACUAGGAUUAGAUACCCUAUUAUUUUAGAAUGUUAAUUUUUUUGCUUGAGUAGUAUUAGGUAUGUUCUUGAAACUUAAAGAAUUUGGCGGUAUCUUAUUCCGUUCAGAGGAAUCUGUCUCGUUAUCGAUAGUCCGCGUUGGACCUUACUUAGUUGCUAUGGUUUGUAUACCGCCGUUUAUUGAUUAUGCUUUUAGGGUUUAUUAAUUUUCUGGUUUCUUUAUUUUGAUUUAUUUCAGGUCAAGGUGCAGCUUGUUUCUAAGUGUUAUUGAUGGAUUACAUUGUUCUUUGUUGUUUGGAUUAUUGGUUGGAUUAUUAGUAUGAAAUUGGAUUUGAUUGUAAUGUCUUGUAGAUUGUUUUCGUGAUAUGGGUUCUAAGAUAUGUACACAUCGCCCGUCGCUCUCGUUUGUUGUUAAUGAGAUAAGUCGUAACAUAGUA